UACCAUGGUUUUAACGGGUAACGGGGAAUUAGGGUUCGAUUCCGGAGAGGGAGCCUGAGAAACGGCUACCACAUCCAAGGAAGGCAGCAGGCGCGCAAAUUACCCAAUCCCGACACGGGGAGGUAGUGACAAUAAAUAACAAUAUGGGGCUCUUACGAGUCUUGUAAUUGGAAUGAGUACAAUUUAAAUCUCUUAACGAGGAACAAUUGGAGGGCAAGUCUGGUGCCAGCAGCCGCGGUAAUUCCAGCUCCAAUAGCGUAUAUUAAAGUUGUUGCAGUUAAAAAGCUCGUAGCUGAAUUUCGGGAUCAAUACGUCGGUCGUGCUUUCGGGUACGUACUGGCGUCAUUGGUUUCUCCUUUCUGACGAACCAUGAUGUCAUUAAUUUGGUGUCAUGGGGAGUUAGGACUGUUACUUUGAAAAAAUUAGAGUGCUUAAAGCAGGCUUAUGCCUGAAUACAUUAGCAUGGAAUAAUGAAAUAGGACGGCAUGGUUCUAUUUUGUUGGUUUCUAGGAUCACCGUAAUGAUUAAUAGGGAUAGUUGGGGGCAUUAGUAUUCAAUUGUCAGAGGUGAAAUUCUUGGAUUUAUUGAAGACUAACUUCUGCGAAAGCAUUUGCCAAGGAUGUUUUCAUUAAUCAAGAACGAAAGUUAGGGGAUCGAAGACGAUCAGAUACCGUCGUAGUCUUAACCAUAAACUAUGCCGACUAGGGAUCGGACGAUGUUAAUUUUUUAAUGACUCGUUCGGCGCCUUACGGGAAACCAAAGUGUUU
Molecule: ribosomal RNA, 767 nt
Filed under: uncultured Acaulospora
Lineage: Eukaryota; Fungi; Glomeromycota; Glomeromycetes; Diversisporales; Acaulosporaceae
Description: SSU rRNA
Rfam family: Eukaryotic small subunit ribosomal RNA
Source: RNAcentral